AGAUGGCGACCGGCGCACGGGUGAGUAACACGUAUCCAACCUGCCGAUAACUCCGGAAUAGCCUUUCGAAAGAAAGAUUAAUACCGGAUGGCAUACGAAUAUCGCAUGAUAUUUUUAUUAAAGAAUUUCGGUUAUCGAUGGGGAUGCGUUCCAUUAGUUUGUUGGCGGGGUAACGGCCCACCAAGACUACGAUGGAUAGGGGUUCUGAGAGGAAGGUCCCACACAUUGGAACUGAGACACGGUCCAA
Molecule: ribosomal RNA, 247 nt
Filed under: uncultured bacterium
Lineage: Bacteria
Description: partial 16S ribosomal RNA
Rfam family: Bacterial small subunit ribosomal RNA
Source: RNAcentral